RNAcentral lists this ribosomal RNA (383 nucleotides) under uncultured bacterium. RNAcentral describes it as "bacterial SSU rRNA". It matches the Rfam family "Bacterial small subunit ribosomal RNA", at positions 137 to 507 of the family's 1533-position model. The record is from RNAcentral.
CAGGGGAUAACAUUUGGAAACAAAUGCUAAUACCGUAUAAUAAUUAAAACCGCAUGGUUUUAGUUUAAAAGAUGGUCUUGCUAUCACUAAGAGAUGGUCCCGCGGUGUAUUAGCUAGUUGGUGAGGUAAUGGCUCACCAAGACAAUGAUACAUAGCCGAGUUGAGAGACUGACCGGCCACAAUGGGACUGAGACACGGCCCAUACUCCUACGGGAGGCAGCAGUAGGGAAUCUUCCACAAUGGACGAAAGUCUGAUGGAGCAACGCCGCGUGUGUGAUGAAGGGUUUCGGCUCGUAAAACACUGUUGUAAGAGAAGAAUGACAUUGAGAGUAACUGUUCAAUGUGUGACGGUAUCUUACCAGAAAGGAACGGCUAAAUACGUG